GUGUCCUUUAGCACAAAGGAGACAGGAACCUAAGUCUGUCAGACAACCGUGGGACCACCCCAGUCAGGAAUUCUAACUGAGAACGAUCCUCUACAGCCAAGGACAACUCCAAAGAACUGCCCCAACCGCUAAUCACGCUCUGAUUCCACGGUCGCAAUUCAUCAACCAGAUUUAAGUUCCUGUCUCCUUUGUGCUAAAGGACAC
This 204-nucleotide small nucleolar RNA is filed under the name Hevea brasiliensis (rubber tree). Lineage: Eukaryota; Viridiplantae; Streptophyta; Magnoliopsida; Malpighiales; Euphorbiaceae. The record is from RNAcentral.